This 938-nucleotide ribosomal RNA is filed under the name Inocybe bella. RNAcentral describes it as "eukaryotic LSU rRNA". It matches the Rfam family "Eukaryotic large subunit ribosomal RNA", at positions 35 to 952 of the family's 3401-position model. Lineage: Eukaryota; Fungi; Basidiomycota; Agaricomycetes; Agaricales; Inocybaceae. The record is from RNAcentral.
UAAGCAUAUCAAUAAGCGGAGGAAAAGAAACUAACAAGGAUUCCCCUAGUAACUGCGAGUGAAGCGGGAAAAGCUCAAAUUUGAAAUCUGGUGGUUCUUGAACCGUCCGAGUUGUAAUCUAGAGAAGUGUUACCUGUGCUGGACCGUGUACAAGUCUCCUGGAAUGGAGCAUCACAGAGGGUGAGAAUCCCGUCUUUGACAUGGACUACCUGUACAAUAUGGUGCGCUCUCAAAGAGUCGAGUUGUUUGGGAAUGCAGCUCAAAAUGGGUGGUAAAUGCCAUCUAAAGCUAAAUAUUGGCGAGAGACCGAUAGCGAACAAGUACCGUGAGGGAAAGAUGAAAAGAACUUUGGAAAGAGAGUUAAACAGUACGUGAAAUUGCUGAAAGGGAAACGCUUGAAGUCAGUCACGUUGGCUGGGAAUCAACCUUGCUCUUGCUUGGUGCACUUUCUGGUYGACGGGUCAGCAUCAAUUUUGACCAUUGGAUAAAGUCAUUGGGAAUGUGGCAUCUUAGGAUGUGUUAUAGCCCUUUGUCGCAUAUAGUGGUUGGGAUUGAGGAACUCAGCACGCCUGCAAGGGCCGGGUCCUUUGGACCACGUAUCGUGCUUAGGAUGCUGGCAUAAUGGCUUUAAUCGACCCGUCUUGAAACACGGACCAAGGAGUCUAACAUGCCUGCGAGUGUUUGGGUGGAAAACCCAUGCGCGCAAUGAAAGUGAAAGUUGAGAUCCCUUUCAGGAGGGAGCAUUGACGCCCGGACCAGACCUUUUGUGACGGAUCYGCGGUAGAGCAUGUGUGUUGGGACCCGAAAGAUGGUGAACUAUGCCUGAAUAGGGUGAAGCCAGAGGAAACUCUGGUGGAGGCUCGUAGCGAUUCUGACGUGCAAAUCGAUCGUCAAAUUUGGGUAUAGGGGCGAAAGACUAAUCGAACCAUCUAGUAGCU